AGAAAAUCCCGGACCAAGCUAACCCUUUCAGCUGCACUAGAAGCUAUAAGAAACAUGGAGCAGUAAGGGACAGGAAGUGCAUGGAACAAGAGCUGUGGGGGACUAGGGUAGGAAUUUGUAAACCAAACCAGACCAGAGCACGGGAAACUGGACAAUCCACCCUGGUCCCCACCGUGAAGAUUGGCCUUCGAUCUGCAGUCGCCUGAUCCACGGUCCCGGAUAAGCCCCCCCCUCAUGUGCGGAGCACGAUCUGGUUUCAUGUUUAAAAGUUGAGUAAAGCCUCCAGUAAGGAAGACCAGACGGUGCGGGUCAUAAAUGACCAAGUCAAGGAAAGAGUCAGCCGGCUACGAUCGCCUACGAUAACCGUAUCCAUUAACAGAAGACCAGGCAAUGGUUAACACGUCCUCCGUGAAUAGUUCUCAAAACAGGCUGGAAUUUCAAUUGAAAGCUG
Hyla sarda is the source of this 451-nucleotide long non-coding RNA. RefSeq lists it as uncharacterized. The record is from RefSeq and is a predicted model, not a curated record. The transcript is spliced from 4 exons. NCBI's taxonomy places the organism in Eukaryota, Metazoa, Chordata, Amphibia, Anura, Hylidae.